This is a long non-coding RNA of Oncorhynchus keta (chum salmon), 647 nucleotides long. RefSeq lists it as uncharacterized. The transcript is spliced from 4 exons. Lineage: Eukaryota; Metazoa; Chordata; Actinopteri; Salmoniformes; Salmonidae. The record is from RefSeq and is a predicted model, not a curated record.
GUUAAAUCAGUGUAGAUGAAGGGUAGGAAACAGGUUAAAUCAGUGUAGAUGAAGGGUAGGAAACAGGUUAAAUCAGUGUAGAUGAAGGGUAGGAAACAGGUUAAAUCAGUGUAGAUGAAGGGUAGGAAACAGGUUAAAUCAGUGUAGAUGAAGGGUAGGAAACAGGUUAAAUCAGUGUAGAUGAAGGGUAGGAAACAGGUUAAAUCAGUGUAGAUGAAGGGUAGGAAACAGGUUAAAUCAGUGUAGAUGAAGGGUAGGAAACAGGUUAAAUCAGUGUAGAUGAAGGGUAGGAAACAGGUUAAAUCAGUGUAGAUGAAGGGUAGGAAACAGGUUAAAUCAGUGUAGAUGAAGGGUAGGAAACAGGUUAAAUCAGUGUAGAUGAAGGGUAGGAAACAGGUUAAAUCAGUGUAGAUGAAGGGUAGGAAACAGGUUAAAUCAGUGUAGAUGAAGGGUAGGAAACAGGUUAAAUCAGUGUAGAUGAAGGGUAGGAAACAGGUUAAAUCAGUGUAGAUGAAGGGUAGGAAACAGGUUAAAUCAGUGUAGAUGAAGGGUAGGAAACAGGUUAAAUCAGUGUAGAUGAAGGGUAGGAAACAGGUUAAAUCAGUGUAGAUGAAGGGUAGGAAACAGGUUAAAUCAGUGUAGAUGAA